Molecule: long non-coding RNA, 1329 nt
Organism: Canis lupus familiaris (dog)
Lineage: Eukaryota; Metazoa; Chordata; Mammalia; Carnivora; Canidae
Exons: 4
Source: RefSeq, a predicted model, not a curated record
GGCGCGGGCCCGGCCGCCCUGGGCUUCGGGAGCUGCAAAGCCCGGGAGCUCUUUCCCCCUCCGAGAACGUUAAUUGACCCCGGUAGGGACCCGUAGGGUAAAGGUUCUUUAAGGGAAGUGUGAGCCGGGGGCCUCUGGGGCCUCUGGGAAGUUGCGGCAAAAUUCAGGCUAGGCCACGAGGCUCGGAUGUGAGAGCCGCGGAGACAGAGAACCACAAAGCAGGAGCGCAAAGAAUAGAGUUGAGAGGGAGUCGGGAAAGCCCGGAUAAAAGCCGUCCGGCCGGGACUUCCUGCGGUCGGGGUCUAAUGCCUGCCGGAAACGGACUUCCCCUUCUGGGUUACGCGCGUCCCGCCCCCACCACGGGGCGACCGAGAUGAAGGGAAUUGUGCCCUGCGGCUUUCCGUACCGCGGCUGGCGUCCGUCCCCGCUUCCCUGCUCCGCCGGGCGCCGGCGCCUGAGCCGGAAGCACAACUCGGAACGGUGCGCGGCGCUCCCGGGAGCGGAGCCGUCGGCGCGGAGGCCUCGGAGGCUCCCCGGGAGGCCGGCCGCAGCCCCUCUUCGCGGAGCGCCCCCGCAAGUAACGCUCGUUCUGUCUUCCCUCUCGCAUUACUUUCGAUGACACGUGAGAGCGUGUUUCGGAGGGUAGAAAAGUGUGCGAGUAAUGGGGCCGCCUUUGAGGACCCGACGGACCCGCACUUUUGCCGUGUCAAGCCCCUGUGUUCGCAGGUAGCUGUGGACAGAGUUGCUGUGACGUUGGCUACAUGGCUGCCCUUUCGCGUCCCUGGGUCUAUGCAGGAGGAGGCUACAGAUGAAUAGGUUGGGACCUGAGAGCGUGUCGAAGAAACAGUCUCCUAUGGAAACACUGUUUGGAAAUGACAGUCAGCAACCUUGAUUCACUAAACUUUGAGCGACUUGAGGGGAGGCUCUGUGCACCCAGAUGAGACACAAGAUCAACCAAUUUGUGGGGUCCUCAGCCCUCAAAGCAGGGACCAGAGCACAUCUUUGGCCAGACACGGUUUCCUUCCGGCUCCGUGACUCCCUCACUGCUCAGCCCUGGUCAAGUCCAUGUUUCCUCUGGGCGCUCAGUGUGCUCAGUGUAUUCAGAGGCAUCCAUCUUCUAUGCUGAAUAGCAAGCUCUGUGAGGGCUGGGACCUGAUCACCAAUGCUUGGAAUGUGCCUGACACCCUGUUAAUAUAUCUCUUCAUUGGGAUCCCCGGGUGGCUCAGCGGUUUAGCGCCUGCCUUUGGCCCAGGGUGUGAUCCUGGAGACCCGGGAUCGAGUCCCACGUCAGGCUCCCGGCAUGGAGCCUGCUUCUCCCUCCUCUGUGUC